AGUCGAGGGGUACAGGGCUUCGGCCGCUGACGACCGGCAAACGGGUGCGGAAUAGUACACAACAUACCUCUUUCUGGGGCAUAGCCCGAAGAAAUUCGGAUUAACACCCCAUAGUAUUGACUGGUGGCAUCACCUAACAAUUAAAAAUUUAUUGGAAAGAGAUUGGCGUGCGUCCUAUUAGCUAGUUGGUAAGGGUAACGGCCUACCAAGGCGACGAUAGGUAGCUGGUGUGAGAGCACGACCAGCCACACGGGCACUGAGACACGGGCCCGACUCCUACGGGAGGCAGCAGUAAGGAAUAUUGGACAAUGCCCGCAAGGGUGAUCCAGCCAUGCCGCGUGCAGGAAGACGGCCCUAUGGGUUGUAAACUGCUUUUACACCGGAGAAAACCCCCUUUCGUGAAAGGGGCUGAUAGUAUGGUGAGAAUAAGCAUCGGCUAACUUCGUGCCAGCAGCCGCGGUAAUACGAAGGAUGCAAGCGUUAUCCGGAUUCAUUGGGUUUAAAGGGAGCGUAGGUGGCCUUAUAAGUCAGUGGUGAAAUCUCUUGGCUUAACCAAGAAAUUGCCAUUGAUACUGUAGGGCUUGAGUAUAGUUGCCGUUGGCGGAAUAUGACAUGUAGUGGUGAAAUACAUAGAGAUGUCAUAGAACACCGAUUGCGAAGGCAGCUGACGAAACUAUAACUGACACUGAGGCUCGAAAGUGCGGGGAUCAAACAGGAUUAGAUACCCUGGUAGUCCGCACUGUAAACGAUGAUUACUCGCUGCUAGGGGGCAACCUUUAGUGGCUUAGCGAAAGCGAUAAGUAAUCCACCUGGGGAGUACGCCGGCAACGGUGAAACUCAACGGAAUUGACGGGGGCCCGCACAAGCGGAGGAGCAUGUGGUUUAAUUCGAUGAUACGCGAGGAACCUUACCAGGGCUUGAAAGUUAGUGACCGACUCUGAAAGGAGUCUUUCCGCAAGGACACGAAACUAGGUGCUGCAUGGCUGUCGUCAGCUCGUGCCGUGAGGUGUUGGGUUAAGUCCCGCAAGGAGCGCAACCCCUACCAUUAGUUGCCAGCGGUUCGGCCGGGGACUCUAGUGGAACUGCCCGCGCAAGCGGUGAGGAAGGUGGGGGUGACGUCAAGUCAUCACGGCCCUUACGUCCUGGGCUACACACGUGCUACAAUGGCUAUUACAGAGGACAGCUACAUAGUAAUAUGAUGCAAAUCUUCAAAAAUAGUCUCAAUUGGGAUUGGGGUCUGCAACUCGACCCCAUGAAGCGGAUUCG
RNAcentral lists this ribosomal RNA (1266 nucleotides) under uncultured bacterium. Its description in RNAcentral is "bacterial SSU rRNA". It matches the Rfam family "Bacterial small subunit ribosomal RNA", at positions 60 to 1334 of the family's 1533-position model. The record is from RNAcentral.